CGGGCCAGUGCUUUAAAGAUG
RNAcentral lists this unclassified non-coding RNA (21 nucleotides) under Mus musculus (house mouse). RNAcentral describes it as "oocyte_clustered_small_RNA10020". The record is from RNAcentral. Lineage: Eukaryota; Metazoa; Chordata; Mammalia; Rodentia; Muridae.